Molecule: ribosomal RNA, 497 nt
Filed under: uncultured bacterium
Lineage: Bacteria
Description: partial 16S ribosomal RNA
Rfam family: Bacterial small subunit ribosomal RNA
Source: RNAcentral
GAUGAACGCUGGCGGCGUGCCUAAUACAUGCAAGUCGAGCGAACAGACGAGGAGCUUGCUCCUCUGACGUUAGCGGCGGACGGGUGAGUAACACGUGGAUAACCUACCUAUAAGACUGGGAUAACUUCGGGAAACCGGAGCUAAUACCGGAUAAUAUAUUGAACCGCAUGGUUCAAUAGUGAAAUACGGUUUUGCUGUCACUUAUAGAUGGAUCCGCGCCGCAUUAGCUAGUUGGUAAGGUAACGGCUUACCAAGGCGACGAUGCGUAGCCGACCUGAGAGGGUGAUCGGCCACCCUGGAACGGAGACACGGUCCAGACUACUAAGGGAGGCCGCAGUAGGGAAUCUUCCGCAAUGGGCGAAAGCCUGACGGAGCAACGCCGAGUGAGUGAUGAAGGUCUUCGGAUCGUAAAACUCUGUUAUUAGGGAAGAACAAAUGUGUAAGUAACUAUGCACGUCUUGACGGUACCUAAUCAGAAAGCCACGGCUAACUACGUG